This 442-nucleotide ribosomal RNA is filed under the name uncultured bacterium. RNAcentral describes it as "partial 16S ribosomal RNA". It matches the Rfam family "Bacterial small subunit ribosomal RNA", at positions 338 to 794 of the family's 1533-position model. The record is from RNAcentral.
CCUACGGGUGGCAGCAGUGGGGAAUAUUGGGCAAUGGGCGCAAGCCUGACCCAGCAACGCCGCGUGAAGGAAGAAGGCUUUCGGGUUGUAAACUUCUUUUCUGAGGGACGAAGAAAGUGACGGUACCUCAGGACUAAGCCACGGCUAACUACGUGCCAGCAGCCGCGGUAAUACGUAGGCGGCAAGCGUUAUCCGGAUGUAUUGGGUGAAAAGGGCGUGUAGGCGGGAAAGCAAGUCAGAUGUGAAAACUCAGGGCACAACCCUGAGCCUGCAUUUGAAACUGUUUUUCUUGAGUGCUGGAGAGGCAAUCGGAAGUCCGGGUGUAGCGGUGAAAUGCGUAGAUAUACGGAGGAACACCAGUGGCGAAGGUGGAUUGCUGGACAGUAACUGACGCUGAGGCGCGAAAGCGUGGGGAGCAAACAGGAUUAGAUACCCCGGUAUC